Lynx canadensis (Canada lynx) is the source of this 2883-nucleotide long non-coding RNA. RefSeq lists it as uncharacterized. The transcript has 4 exons. The record is from RefSeq and is a predicted model, not a curated record. Lineage: Eukaryota; Metazoa; Chordata; Mammalia; Carnivora; Felidae.
ACAGAAGUAGGGGCUGAGGCCCAGGGAGCCCUGCUUUGGCCCGCACUCCGUUGGGAGGGUCCCAGGGAUUGUCCCUUUCCCUCUGGCUGGACCCGAAGAGCCUGGAAACCCAGUGAGCUGUGUGCGGUUCCCUCCCGGUCCGCCCCCCCCAAUUCCGGGUGUCACGCCUGCGGCUGAGGGCGAGGGGCCCAGAGGUCUGCCCCAGGGUCAGGGUCGGGGGAACGGGGGUGGGGGGAGAGGCAGCUUGCGGCCCAGCUGCUCCUGGGUCGCUGUGCUUGCCAGCACUGACCCUCUACGGGGCCUGGGGUGUCCUGGAGGUCGCUGCGUUCGGGCCGCUCUCCCUCUGCCUUGGGACGUCUGCCGGAAGCCGGCGGUUGGCUGUGGCCAGAUCCAGGAGGGGCCGACGUUUGAGGACCUCUCCCUCAGGCCUGUCCGCCUGCAUGAUUUGCUUUCAGCUCUAACUCACCUGCCGUCAAGUUCACCCUUGCAAAGUGUACGAUUCAGUGGGUGUUAGCCGAGGCACAACGUUGUCCAGCCGUCACCAGCUGGACGUUUUUGUCACCCCAGGGACACCCGCACUCAUUAGCAGUCACUCCCCAGCCCCGGGAACCGCGAAUCUGCUGUCUCUGCAGAUCUGUUCCUUCUGGACGUUCUGUACGAAUGGACUCGUUCGAUACGCGGCCUCCGUGUCUAGAUCCUUUGAGGUCGCGUAAUGUUUUCAAAUUCAUCCAUUUUACAGGGGGAGGCAGCUGAGACUUGGAAAAGUCCAGGCUGCUUGUCCUGUGAGCUACAGAGCUGGGGUCGGGACCAACCGGGGGGGGGGGGGGUGUCACGUUCCACCGUCCACUUUCUUUCUAGUGCACACUCCCGAGUGGCCAAGGGGGUGUGACCCCAUCCACCCAGCCCCAGGACGAGGAUGCACCUGCUGCCUCCUCCGCCCUGGUUGCACGUGUAGACUCUGACCCAGUAAUUGGGGCACCAGCGUCUCCUACACGGGCCUUCCGACCAGCUACACACCCUGCCACACACCGUGGGUCCGGUGGCCACAGAACCCCCCUGGACAAGGGCCUCAGAACCAGGACAAGGUGCUGCGGCAGAAGGGCCCCACAGCCAGCGAUGUGAUCCUCAUAGGACUGUCACCUCAACCAUCACCAUGCAAGGACACGACGCUGUCAGAGAAAUGCCGGCUGGGCCGUCACCCUCUGAUGUCCCCCCCGAUGGAGGUUGCUAACCCAGGAAAACCGCCUUGGUGCCUUGUUCAGCCUCGGCGUCCUCCCUCCGGUGGGUCAGCACCCACUCCUUCCUUCCGCCUCCUGGGCCUCAGUUUCCAUCCUCUGGCUCUCCUCCAAAACAAAGCCAAGGACAGCCCCUCCCCCUGCCCCGGGAUGGCCGUGAGGGUGAGUGGCAAUGGACUCGAAGAGCUGGCGGCACCGAGCCUGGCCUGUCACCGGUCCCGGGCCGCGGUGACACCUACGCGUGAGCAUGGAGACCCUCUUGUCUAAUACUAGCUGCGGCCGAGACCGAGUGCUGUUUCGGGGGUACAGUGAUUGGCUCUCUGCCCUGAGGGGCGCGGGGGGAGCACCUUGCCGCUGGGUCAGGUGCCCCCAGGCAGUCGGGCAGGGACACCAGCCCUGGGUGCCGCCGGUCCCCUGAGGACCUGCCCCCCUUCCCCACAGGACCGCCCCCGCACGCCUCCGGCGGGAGGUUCGGGAUUUGAACUGGGCACAGCAAGAAUGUCGUCGGCCAUCGAAUGCAGGUGGUGAAGGUCUCCAUUUGGGCAGGUGAGUUGAUUGGGGUUUUUUGGGGGGGGUGCGGUUAAUUGAGGUGAAAUUUAUAUAACAUGAAAUUAACCAUCUUCACGGGUGCGAUUCAGGGUCGAUCGGUGUUGUGUAACCACCGUUCGUUCCAAAUGACCCUCGUCUCCCCAAAACGAAAGCCCACCCCCCUCAGCAGUCGCUCCCUCCUCCCUCUCCCCCAGCCCCUGAGAGCCGCUCAUAUGCUUUCCAUCUCUAUUGACUUAACCGUCGCAGGCAUCUUGUCAUGUGAGUGGGAUCACGCGCUGUGUCACUUUGUGACUUGCUUCCUUCACGCGGCGUCCCGUUUGCAAGGGCCAGUCGUGUUUGGCACGGGUCGGUGUUUCCGUCUUUUUUUUGUGCCUGGAUAAUACUCCGUUGUGCGGCCGGACCUCGUUUUGUUUGAUCCGUUAUCAAAGGGUGUCGUUUCCGCCUUCUGGGCCGCUGUGAAUAAGCCACUGUGAACAUUCGGGCACAAGUAUUUGCUUAAGUGCAUCUCUGCUGUGUUUUGGGGCACAGCGUGUGCCUGGGAACGGAACGGCCGGGCCCUACAGUAACGGUCGUUACGCGAGGAACCUGACUGAGGUCUUGCGGGGCCGACCCGGGGCCGUUCCUCCCCAGCUGUCUGGGCCGUGUGGCACCGGAGUUCGGGCACGGGAUGGGGGCCGGCAGCGCUGGGUCUGGAACCAGGUGGCGGCAUUUGCUUGCUGUGCGACCUCUGGUGAGUUGCUUGGCCUCUCUGUGUCCUCCCCGGGAACCUGCGGCUCCCAGGGUGGCACAGGCAGCCUGCGUGCCUGGAGGUGACGUGUAAGUUGUGGGAGCUCUGAUGCCUUUUAGGGUGGAAAUCUGUCCUCCUCGGAGCCUGCUCCCACCCCCUCAGCAUCCAGGGAGGCUCCGAGAGCUCGUGGGCUGCCGUCAGCAGAGAUGAGCCAAGAGCUAGGGCCAGCGGGCAUCAUGGGUAGCACAGUGUAACCCGCCCAGCUCCCGGGGAUCCUCGGCUGCACCCCAGAGAGCCUCAGCCCUCUGAGAAUAUUUUUUUAAAUGUUUUCGACAGGGUGAGCACGAGUGGGAGAGGGGCAGAGAGAGGGAG